RNAcentral lists this ribosomal RNA (1227 nucleotides) under metagenome. RNAcentral's name for it is "bacterial LSU rRNA". It matches the Rfam family "Bacterial large subunit ribosomal RNA", at positions 1710 to 2925 of the family's 2925-position model. The record is from RNAcentral.
GAACUCGGCAAAUUGACACCGUAACUUCGGAAGAAGGUGUGCCCUGGUAGGUUGUAGCCGUACAGGCGAAGGCCGAAGGGGUUGCAAAAAAUCGGUGGCUGCGACUGUUUAAUAAAAACACAGCACUCUGCAAAGAUGAUGAAUCGACGUAUAGGGUGUGGCGCCUGCCCGGUGCCGGAAGGUUAAAUGAUGGGGUGCAAGCUCUUGAUUGAAGCCCCGGUAAACGGCGGCCGUAACAAUAACGGUCCUAAGGUAGCGAAAUUCCUUGUCGGGUAAGUUCCGACCUGCACGAAUGGCGUAACGAUGGCCACACUGUCUCCUCCUGAGACUCAGCGAAGUUGAAGUGUUUGUGAUGAUGCAAUCUACCCGCGGCUAGACGGAAAGACCCCGUGCACCUUUACUGUAGCUUUGCAUUGGACUGUGAUGGGAUCUGUGUAGGAUAGGUGGGAGCCUGUGAAGCGGUGGCGCUAGCCAUCGUGGAGGCAACGUUGAAAUACCACCCUGAUGUCAUUGCGGUUCUAACCUUGGCCCCUAUAGCGGGGUUGGGGACAGUGCAUGGUAGGCAGUUUGACUGGGGCGGUCUCCUCCCAAAGAGUAACGGAGGAGCUCGAAGGUACGCUAGGUACGGUCGGACAUCGUGCUGAUAGUGCAAUGGCACAAGCGUGCUUGACUGCGAGACUGACAAGUCGAGCAGGUGCGAAAGCAGGACAUAGUGAUCCGGUGGUUCUGAAUGGAAGGGCCAUCGCCCAACGGAUAAAAGGUACGCCGGGGAUAACAGGCUGAUUCCUCCCAAGAGUUCAUAUCGACGGGGGAGUUUGGCACCUCGAUGUCGGCUCAUCACAUCCUGGGGCUGUAGCCGGUCCCAAGGGUAUGGCUGUUCGCCAUUUAAAGUGGUACGUGAGCUGGGUUUAAAACGUCGUGAGACAGUUUGGUCCCUAUCUGCCGUGGGCGUUGGACGUUUGAGGGGGGCUGCUCCUAGUACGAGAGGACCGGAGUGGACGAACCUCUGGUGUACCGGUUAUCACGCCAGUGGUAUUGCCGGGUAGCUAAGUUCGGGAGAGAUAAGCGCUGAAAGCAUCUAAGUGCGAAACUUGCCCCAAGAUGAGACGUCCCUGGAGGUUAACUCCACUAAAGGGUCGCGGAAGACCACCGCGUUGAUAGGUCGGGUGUGGAAGCGCAGUAAUGCGUUAAGCUAACCGAUACUAAUUGCCCGUGCGGCUUGAUCCU